UUUUUUUUUUUUUUUUUGUUUUUUUAGAGCCACACCCACAGCAUAUGGAGGUUCCCAGGCUAGGGGUCAAAUUGGAACUGUAGUCCCUGAGCUAUGCCACAGAACAGCCAUGCCAGAACUGAGCCAUGUCUGCGAGCUGCACCACAACUCACAUCAAUGCCGGAUCCUUAACCCACUGAGCAAGGCCAGGGAUUGAACCCGCAUCCUCAUGGAUACUACUCAGGUUCUUAUCCUGCUGAGCCACAAUGGGAACUCCUCCACUUGAUUUUUUUACCUUUGUUCAGUUUUCAAGCGAGAAGGUUGAUAGCUUUCAUCAGCUGUUCAAAGAUGUCAAUAACCCCUAAGUUUUAAGAAUAAUCGAGAUAACCAAAUAAUUAAAAAUUACAUAAUAUUUGGUAUUUUAAAUUACCAGUGUAAACAGAAGACUAGAAUGACAACUACCUCUACACAGAAGAAUCAAGAAAGAUUCUUGGCGGAUAGCACAUAUGCUCUGAAAUAUGAAGCUCAAGGAGAAGUUUGUUAGGAAGAGAAGAAAGAACUUCAGAACUCCCUAGAAUAUACAUAAAAGCAGUGGUGACUGCCAAAGCCUUGGUAUAGUUAUUGGAGAGAGUUCUUUGGUGGGACAGAAAUAAUGGAUGCAAAUGCAGACAUGUCUAUAGCAUUCAUCGCUGUAUUCUUUACAUUUAGAAAAGUACUUGGUACAUGAUACACAGAUCUAUAGAUGUUUAUUAACUUAAAAAUGACAAUAGGUUUAAAUAAUAGAAUAGGCAUAGAUAAUGAAAUAUACUGAGGGACCCACUAAGAAUUUUGCCCUCUAUCCUUUUUGAUUAUAAUUAUUUGAGGACCAUUUAAAUUUAGUUGGUGUUUUGUUUCAUUUUGUUUGCUUAUUAUUGUAUUUUUAGUGAAAAAAAUCAUCAGCUUUGAGUACAAUGUCAAUUGUGUGCAAAAUGAAAGGUUUUGGAUCCUAGGGAAAUGAUGAUAGGACAUCAAAUCAAACAUCUGCAAUGUUAAAAGGAAAUUAGCCGAUGCAAACUGUUAUAUAUAGCAUGUAUAUAGCACAGGGAACUGUAGUCAAUAUCUUUGAUAAACCACAAUAGAAAAAAUAUGAAAAAAUAUAUAUAAAUAUUCUUUGCUGUAUGGGAGAGAUUAACACAAUAUUGUAAAUCAAAGAUACUUCAAUAUUUUAAAAAAUUAGUAUUUUUUUUUCAAAAUGAAAGGAAAUUAAUUUUUCAGGUAUCAGGCAAAAGAAUUAGCUAUUUAAACAAUUAAAAUGAAGGAAUAAAAAAAGGAGUGAUUAAAAAAAACCAGUUUUUUUUAGCUUAGAUUUGCUCAAGAUUUUUUUUUUAAUGAAAACAAACUAGAAAACGAAAGUGUGUUUGGGGUAGUGACAAAACAAAUAUGAUCAGUUGUGGUGGCAUGGUCAUGUAAGGGAGUGAAAGACAAUUCUAAACUUUGCACAAUUACAAAAAAAAUCUUAGUAAAUAGUUCAAGUUUGGAGAAUACAUACGCUACAUUACAAUCCUGAAGGCCAGAAUAUUAACACGGCACAGAAAUGACAUUGAAUGUUGGUUGGUUAAUAUCACCAAGAUUUUUCCAGCAUCAGAUGUUAUUAGAGGAGUCAGAGUUUUAACCUCAUAUUAUGUACGUGAUAAAGAUGACAGGAGAGAUCUCCUAGAAUUCACUCUAUUUUAUUUUCUGACUUUUUGGGAAGAUUUCAUUUCUUAGAGUAUUUCCAGCCAGUUAGGAGAUGUCAGAAAUGUCAACAUUUAAAAAAAAAAAACUACUACUUUUUUCAAAACCUUUGUAAAAAUAAAAUCAUAUUGGGUCACUUCCAAGAGGAAAGCAUGACAUCAUUUUUACACAUUUUUUCCUCUUGGAAAAAAUGCAUCACUCUGGUCAUUUUAAGUCACAGAUUCCUCAUCUAAACUUUUGCUUCCUAAUAGAGUUAAUGAAAACAUUUAAGGAGAUUGUUAGUUUUGCCAAAGAAGAAACAUACAAAGCCAAUUUGGUAUGGCAAGAAAUUUACUGAGGCAUCUGUGAGAAGUUAGUCUUAUAAAUGGUCAUGGUGGGAAUCUGUGGCAAGGGCAUAUGGUGGGAACGUGUGACAAGGUCAAAGAAAGGAAGAUUACACAAUUUGGGGAAGGGGUGAGGGGUCGAGUCCUGUGACUGAGUGAUUGUAGCCAAUGAUAAUUAUAGGGGAAGGGAAAAAUUACACAAUGUGAGAAGGCAGUUGGGGUCAGAGUCUCAGGACCAGACCAUGUAAGUUCAGCAGCAGGAAUUGAUUUACAGGUGGCAGUUAAUCUUUCUAUGUGGUUAAUUUUUUCAGGCCGUUGUUUCUGGUAGAUCAUUGUUUCUUGCUGUCUACCUUGAAAGGCUUCAUUCCAAAGCUUGAUUCCUUCGUCCAUUCUCCUAGGAACCUAUCAGAGAUAAAACAGAGUACACCUUACCUCUGACAUCUAAAUUUAAGGUAUCAUCUAGACAACUCCCCAUACCUUUAAUUACAUAUUGACAUACAUAUUUCAAUUUUGUACAUGCAGGCAUAUUUAUUUAAUGAGUCAUAAAAAAACUUCCUCUCUCUAAAAAAAAAAAAAAAAAAAGCAACUGCAAAUGCUUAUUUUUCCCUGUGAAUCAUUUGAAUUAUUACUUUACUGAAAAUAAUUUUAGAACUUAUGUUACAUUGACCUCAGCUGAAAAAUAGCAUAAAUAGUAUAGAAUAAUUGAGCCUAUUUUUUCAUUAUAAAUACAAUGUUAAAAUGUUCAUUUAGCUUUCCAUAUAGAAACUAAUAUUUAUAUGUCAUGCUGACAAAGCCACAUCAGCAAUAACUUGAUUAGGAUUUCAGAGACACAUUAACAAUUUAUUUUUUGGCAAUUGAUCAUAUUAUCUACACUACAUUUCAAAGAGCCAAAAUAACCAAAAUUUAGUUCUUUUGAAUAUGUAGCUUCCACACAAAAUUGAUCAUUCUGUUGAAGCAGCUGGACAUGGGAAGGAUGACUGAUCAGAAGAGAACUGCAUUAAUCCCAAUAAUAACUAUUUAGAAUUCUGAGCAAUGAUUAAUUUGGGGAAAAGACAAGGAAAUAAUGUUUCUGAGAGAUACAGAAUUUCAAUCUAGUCCAAAAAGCAGAACAUGACAUACUAAAACAUGCUGAAGUGCUAGUAUUUGGUGAUUCACUAAACUAGUUGGUCCUGGACAUCAAGUUCAGCUCAUUUCUCCAGCUCAUUUUCCAAGUGUAAGAAUCUUAUCCACCUUGCCACCUUUCCUGAAUGCAUAUCUCUCCCUAUUCCAUAGCACACAAAACCAAAAUUUUUCAAAACUACCUCCCUCAUUGGCAUUGCCAAGACCAGCUCAGCAGGAUGGGGCUGAAGAACAGGUACUGUGAAACUUAAGGAAAAAAGCUAACAUAAAACAAGACACAGGCAUUUAUCUUAAGUAAAGGUGGGAACUGGGGGACUCAAGGUCUCAGGGACCAAGAGCACCACCUCAAGAAACCACACUGCUUUUAUUGUGCUCUUUAGGAUUGCAUCAAGUGAGGAGGGGGUUGUAGGCACAGGAUAUAGGUUUUUUUAAGUUAUUUUAAAAGUGCCUGGGUUAUCAUCAUUAUACAACUACAGAUGCGAUAAAUUCAUUUGAGUAAUAAAAAAAAAAAUGGGAAAAAAAAAAGUCCCAUAGCCAGUUGCUGAUUAAGCUUUUAUUCUGACAUUUAGGCAUUCAACAAUCAUUAGCAUUUGAGGAAACUUGGCAUCAGCCAUCUAUGCAUAGCAUCUAGAGAAUCACCAUUGUGCUUCUUUAGACAGCAUGCCUAUCUGCAGCAACCUGGGGUGCCAAGGUUUGCACCUCAGUUCUCCUUGUUAAUACAGAUCCUGCUUACGACCCCUCAUAAACCCCUUGGGGCCAUGAGGCUCCUCUUUCUUUUAUUAAGAGGAUGUAUCAUGCUGUGCAAACAGCUCGUCCAUCUGCACAGGUCCAGAGUGCCUAGACCAAUGCAUUAAGUCCUCAUUCAGCUAACCCUAUGAAUAACUUAUGCCUUUAGGUCUUUGUUCUUAAGCUUAAGUCAUUUACCAGCACUGCAUCUGUUUUCCAAGCAGAAAGUUGGGGUAAAGUAAAGCAGGACAAGAUGGAGUUUUCAGCAAAGAGGCUAAGAAAAUAUUGUAGAAACAUGUCUCAUAACAUGGCAUAGCAAUAGAAGUUUUAUGCACUCAUUUUGGCCCCUCCAUUGCAUUCAUUCAUCCACUAUGAUCACUGUUUGCACUUCACCCAAUAUCUCCAUUUACAACUUCACAAUAGCAACUACAUUUGACUAUAAUCUAACCUUAAGGCAGUGAAAGGAUUCAGAUAAUCCUACUCCAAAAAUGCAUUAUCAGUAUUGAAGCAAUCCUUGCCUAUUGUUAAAUAAAAGAGAGCAGGCCCAAAAUGGAGUCACUUAUGCUAACCCCCAGAUCAUCAAACUGAGACUUAUUUUAAUUACAGCAUCAGCUCUACCAGAAAAGGAAUCCUAAGCUAGUCAACCAGUAAUCACCUAGUCAGUACUAGCUAGAAAAUCUGCCUGAUAGACUUUUGCCAUUCUCUAAAGGAAAGUAAUCUUGCAACAACCAACCUGCUAUUUGCCUAGUAUAACAUUUUUUAUCCCACUCCCUUCUACCUAUAAAAGUCUCCCAUUUUGUACAGCUCCUCAGAGCUCCUUUUUAAUCUGUUAUAUUGGAUGCUGCCUAAUUAAUGAAUCAUUGAAAGCCAAUAAGAUCUGUAUAAUUUACUCAGUUGAAUUUUGUUUUUUUAACACUAUCGAUUUUGCAUUAGGUAGUAAAACUUGCAACCAAAGAUCUUCCAAAAACCUGUGCUUGCACAACAAUAAAAAUGUUUAAUUUUCAACAUUAGGCUGCUGAAAAGGAACUACUCUUAAGGGUCUAAAACACAUUUUCUUCAUAUGACCACUUUAGUAUAAUAUGU
Molecule: long non-coding RNA, 4943 nt
Filed under: Sus scrofa (pig)
Lineage: Eukaryota; Metazoa; Chordata; Mammalia; Artiodactyla; Suidae
Description: lncRNA (ENSSSCG00025040667.1)
Source: RNAcentral